This 1369-nucleotide ribosomal RNA is filed under the name uncultured bacterium. RNAcentral describes it as "bacterial SSU rRNA". It matches the Rfam family "Bacterial small subunit ribosomal RNA", at positions 28 to 1381 of the family's 1533-position model. The record is from RNAcentral.
GACGAACGCUGGCGGCGUGCCUAAUACAUGCAAGUAGAACGCUGAAGAGAGGAGCUUGCUCUUCUUGGAUGAGUUGCGAACGGGUGAGUAACGCGUAGGUAACCUGCCUUGUAGCGGGGGAUAACUAUUGGAAACGAUAGCUAAUACCGCAUAACAAUGGAUGACACAUGUCAUUUAUUUGAAAGGGGCAAUUGCUCCACUACAAGAUGGACCCGCGUUGUAUUAGCUAGUAGGUGAGGUAAUGGCUCACCUAGGCGACGAUACAUAGCCGACCUGAGAGGGUGAUCGGCCACACUGGGACUGAGACACGGCCCAGACUCCUACGGGAGGCAGCAGUAGGGAAUCUUCGGCAAUGGGGGCAACCCUGACCGAGCAACGCCGCGUGAGUGAAGAAGGUUUUCGGAUCGUAAAGCUCUGUUGUAAGUCAAGAACGGGUGUGAGAGUGGAAAGUUCACACUGUGACGGUAGCUUACCAGAAAGGGACGGCUAACUACGUGCCAGCAGCCGCGGUAAUACGUAGGUCCCGAGCGUUGUCCGGAUUUAUUGGGCGUAAAGCGAGCGCAGGCGGUUUGAUAAGUCUGAAGUUAAAGGCUGUGGCUCAACCAUAGUUCGCUUUGGAAACUGUCAAACUUGAGUGCAGAAGGGGAGAGUGGAAUUCCAUGUGUAGCGGUGAAAUGCGUAGAUGUAUGGAGGAACACCGGUGGCGAAAGCGGCUCUCUGGUCUGUAACUGACGCUGAGGCUCGAAAGCGUGGGGAGCGAACAGGAUUAGAUACCCUGGUAGUCCACGCCGUAAACGAUGAGUGCUAGGUGUUGGAUCCUUUCCGGGAUUCAGUGCCGCAGCUAACGCAUUAAGCACUCCGCCUGGGGAGUACGACCGCAAGGUUGAAACUCAAAGGAAUUGACGGGGGCCCGCACAAGCGGUGGAGCAUGUGGUUUAAUUCGAAGCAACGCGAAGAACCUUACCAGGUCUUGACAUCCCGAUGCUAUUUCUAGAGAUAGAAAGUUACUUCGGUACAUCGGUGACAGGUGGUGCAUGGUUGUCGUCAGCUCGUGUCGUGAGAUGUUGGGUUAAGUCCCGCAACGAGCGCAACCCCUAUUGUUAGUUGCCAUCAUUCAGUUGGGCACCCUAGCGAGACUGCCGGUAAUAAACCGGAGGAAGGUGGGGAUGACGUCAAAUCAUCAUGCCCCUUAUGACCUGGGCUACACACGUGCUACAAUGGUUGGUACAACGAGUUGCGAGUCGGUGACGGCGAGCUAAUCUCUUAAAGCCAAUCUCAGUUCGGAUUGUAGGCUGCAACUCGCCUACAUGAAGUCGGAAUCGCUAGUAAUCGCGGAUCAGCACGCCGCGGUGAAUACGUUCCCGGGCCU